CCUACGGGAGGCAGCAGUGGGGGAUAUUGCACAAUGGGGGGAACCCUGAUGCAGCGACGCCGCGUGGGUGAAGAAGCGCCUCGGCGCGUAAAGCCCUGUCAGCAGGGAAGAAAAUGACGGUACCUGAAGAAGAAGCCCCGGCUAACUACGUGCCAGCAGCCGCGGUAAUACGUAGGGGGCAAGCGUUAUCCGGAUUUACUGGGUGGAAAGGGGGCGCAGACGGCGAUGCAAGCCAGGAGUGAAAGCCCGGGGCCCAACCCCGGGACUGCUCUUGGAACUGCGUGGCUGGAGUGCAGGAGGGGCAGGCGGAAUUCCUGGUAUAGCGGUGAAAUGCGUAGAUAUCAGGAGGAACACCGGUGGCGAAGGCGGCCUGCUGGACUGCAACUGACGUUGAGGCCCGAAAGCGUGGGGAGCAAACAGGAUUAGAUACCCCAGUAGUC
This 440-nucleotide ribosomal RNA is filed under the name uncultured bacterium. RNAcentral's name for it is "partial 16S ribosomal RNA". It matches the Rfam family "Bacterial small subunit ribosomal RNA", at positions 338 to 795 of the family's 1533-position model. The record is from RNAcentral.